Molecule: long non-coding RNA, 1059 nt
Filed under: Naja naja (Indian cobra)
Lineage: Eukaryota; Metazoa; Chordata; Lepidosauria; Squamata; Elapidae
Description: lncRNA (ENSNNAG00000001854.1)
Source: RNAcentral
GCCAAGUUUGGGGACCCCUGCUCUAGGCCACUGCAUGACUUCUGGUUCUCUCCUCUAUAAGCAUCCCAAAUUGGGGGUGGGUGGGCUGCUGGGUGGGGCUUGAAAGCAGCAAAGAAUGUUUAUUCAGGUAUUUGCAAAGACGGGUGUACAAAAGGUGGACCCAGAAGGAAGCAUCCAUCCUUCCGUCCCCUGCACAAGUUCAGAUAACAGAAAAUCAGAGUUGGAAGGGACCUUGUAGAUCAUCUAGUCCAACCCCCCCGAUGGCAGGCUCAGACCCCUAGAGAGGAGAGGAUGGCAGAACUGCUGCACCUUCUGUGUAUGCUCAAGAGCAUCAUUCAUACGAAAAGCGAUCCUUUAAAAGAAUCAUAAAGGAGUCCUUUGGGAGUUGGGCGGCAUAUAAGUUUAAUUAAAUAAAUUAAAUACAUUAAAUAAAUAACGAGCGUUUAUAUUAUAGGAACAGGGAGUUGCUAUUGCUUCUUUAAAAAAGCAGACGUUAAAUGGAACAAGUCUAAACUGUUUUGAUGCUAUGCAGGAGCUAAGGGCUGAAACGGCAGCUGUGGGAAAACCACAAGACGGGCGAGCCUGAAUGCCAGUGGAAACCACAAGCCAAGGAAGUAGGAAAAGAAGAAUAACAGAUUAACAGAGUUGGAAGGGAAAGGACCUUAAUGCUAGCAAAAAAACAGGCCGUGGUUAACCAAAUAGGUAACAGGGGAAGCAUGAACCAUAUCAGUUUUUGUGAUUUUGAGCCUCGGUGGCGCAGUGGUGAGAGUGCAGUACUUCAGGCUACUUCUGCUGAUUGCUGCCUGCCUGCAAUUCGGCAGUUUGAAUCCCACGAGGCUCCAGGUUGACUCAGCCUUCCGUCCCUCCAAGGUCAGUAAAAUGAGGAGCCAGAUUGUUGGGGGCCAGAGGCUGACUUUGUAAACUGCUUAGAGAGGGCUGUUGAGCACUAUAAAGCAGUAUGUAAGUCUAAGGGCUAUAGCUAACUUCUGUCUACAUCAUCUGUCUGUCUGUCUGUCUGUCUGUCUGUCUGUCUGUCUGUCUGUCUGUCUAUCUAUCUAU